This is a non-coding RNA of Podarcis lilfordi (Lilford's wall lizard), 81 nucleotides long. NCBI's taxonomy places the organism in Eukaryota, Metazoa, Chordata, Lepidosauria, Squamata, Lacertidae. The record is from the annotation of a GenBank genome assembly.
GCCUUAUUCAUGGAUAGCUCAGUUGGUUAGAGCGUGGUGCUGUUAAUGCCAAGGUUGCAGGCUCGAUCCCCAUAUGGGGCA